RNAcentral lists this ribosomal RNA (1490 nucleotides) under uncultured bacterium. Its description in RNAcentral is "16S ribosomal RNA". It matches the Rfam family "Bacterial small subunit ribosomal RNA". The record is from RNAcentral.
AGAGUUUGAUCCUGGCUCAGAUUGAACGCUGGCGGCAUGCUUUACACAUGCAAGUCGAACGGCAGCGCGGGGCAACCUGGCGGCGAGUGGCGAACGGGUGAGUAAUAUAUCGGAACGUACCCAAGAGUGGGGGAUAACGUAGCGAAAGUUACGCUAAUACCGCAUACGAUCCAAGGAUGAAAGCAGGGGACCGCAAGGCCUUGUGCUCCUGGAGCGGCCGAUAUCUGAUUAGCUAGUUGGUAGGGUAAAGGCCUACCAAGGCUACGAUCAGUAGCUGGUCUGAGAGGACGACCAGCCACACUGGAACUGAGACACGGUCCAGACUCCUACGGGAGGCAGCAGUGGGGAAUUUUGGACAAUGGGCGCAAGCCUGAUCCAGCAAUGCCGCGUGAGUGAAGAAGGCCUUCGGGUUGUAAAGCUCUUUUGUCAGGGAAGAAACGGUGAGGGCUAAUAUCCCUUGCUAAUGACGGUACCUGAAGAAUAAGCACCGGCUAACUACGUGCCAGCAGCCGCGGUAAUACGUAGGGUGCAAGCGUUAAUCGGAAUUACUGGGCGUAAAGCGUGCGCAGGCGGUUUUGUAAGUCUGAUGUGAAAUCCCCGGGCUCAACCUGGGAAUUGCAUUGGAGACUGCAAGGCUAGAAUCUGGCAGAGGGGGGUAGAAUUCCACGUGUAGCAGUGAAAUGCGUAGAGAUGUGGAGGAACACCGAUGGCGAAGGCAGCCCCCUGGGUCAAGAUUGACGCUCAUGCACGAAAGCGUGGGGAGCAAACAGGAUUAGAUACCCUGGUAGUCCACGCCCUAAACGAUGUCUACUAGUUGUCGGGUUUUAAUUAACUUGGUAACGCAGCUAACGCGUGAAGUAGACCGCCUGGGGAGUACGGUCGCAAGAUUAAAACUCAAAGGAAUUGACGGGGACCCGCACAAGCGGUGGAUGAUGUGGAUUAAUUCGAUGCAACGCGAAAAACCUUACCUACCCUUGACAUGGCAGGAAUCCCGGAGAGAUCUGGGAGUGCUCGAAAGAGAACCUGCACACAGGUGCUGCAUGGCUGUCGUCAGCUCGUGUCGUGAGAUGUUGGGUUAAGUCCCGCAACGAGCGCAACCCUUGUCAUUAGUUGCUACGAAAGAGCACUCUAAUGAGACUGCCGGUGACAAACCGGAGGAAGGUGGGGAUGACGUCAAGUCCUCAUGGCCCUUAUGGGUAGGGCUUCACACGUCAUACAAUGGUACAUACAGAGGGCCGCCAACCCGCGAGGGGGAGCUAAUCCCAGAAAGUGUAUCGUAGUCCGGAUUGUAGUCUGCAACUCGACUACAUGAAGUUGGAAUCGCUAGUAAUCGCGGAUCAGCAUGUCGCGGUGAAUACGUUCCCGGGUCUUGUACACACCGCCCGUCACACCAUGGGAGCGGGUUUUACCAGAAGUAGGUAGCUUAACCGCAAGGAGGGCGCUUACCACGGUAGGAUUCGUGACUGGGGUGAAGUCGUAACAAGGUAACC